Molecule: ribosomal RNA, 1060 nt
Filed under: Bacillus casamancensis
Lineage: Bacteria; Bacillati; Bacillota; Bacilli; Caryophanales; Bacillaceae
Description: bacterial SSU rRNA
Rfam family: Bacterial small subunit ribosomal RNA
Source: RNAcentral
GUGCCUAAUACAUGCAAGUCGAGCGAACUUGCGGGAGCUUGCUCCCAAAAGUUAGCGGCGGACGGGUGAGUAACACGUGGGCAACCUGCCUGUAAGACUGGGAUAACUUCGGGAAACCGGAGCUAAUACCGGAUAACCCUUUUCCUCACAUGUGGAAAAGUUGAAAGAUGGCUUCGGCUAUCACUUACAGAUGGGCCCGCGGCGCAUUAGCUAGUUGGUGAGGUAACGGCUCACCAAGGCGACGAUGCGUAGCCGACCUGAGAGGGUGAUCGGCCACACUGGGACUGAGACACGGCCCAGACUCCUACGGGAGGCAGCAGUAGGGAAUCUUCCGCAAUGGACGAAAGUCUGACGGAGCAACGCCGCGUGAGUGAUGAAGGUUUUCGGAUCGUAAAACUCUGUUGUUAGGGAAGAACAAGUACCGUUCGAAUAGGGCGGUACCUUGACGGUACCUAACCAGAAAGCCACGGCUAACUACGUGCCAGCAGCCGCGGUAAUACGUAGGUGGCAAGCGUUGUCCGGAAUUAUUGGGCGUAAAGCGCGCGCAGGCGGUCUUUUAAGUCUGAUGUGAAAGCCCCCGGCUCAACCGGGGAGGGUCAUUGGAAACUGGGAGACUUGAGUGCAGAAGAGGAGAGUGGAAUUCCACGUGUAGCGGUGAAAUGCGUAGAGAUGUGGAGGAACACCAGUGGCGAAGGCGACUCUCUGGUCUGUAACUGACGCUGAGGCGCGAAAGCGUGGGGAGCGAACAGGAUUAGAUACCCUGGUAGUCCACGCCGUAAACGAUGAGUGCUAAGUGUUAGAGGGUUUCCGCCCUUUAGUGCUGCAGCAAACGCAUUAAGCACUCCGCCUGGGGAGUACGGCCGCAAGGCUGAAACUCAAAGGAAUUGACGGGGGCCCGCACAAGCGGUGGAGCAUGUGGUUUAAUUCGAAGCAACGCGAAGAACCUUACCAGGUCUUGACAUCCUCUGACAAUCCUAGAGAUAGGACGUUCCCCUUUUAGGGGACAGAGUGACAGGUGGUGCAUGGUUGUCGUCAGCUCGUGUCGUGAGAUGUUGGAUAA